CCCUUAGAUGUCCUGGGCCGCACGCGCGUUACACUGAUGCAUUCAACGAGCUUAUAACCUUGGCCGAGAGGCCUGGGCAAUCUUGUUAACGUGCAUCGUGAUAGGGAUAGAUUAUUGAAAUUAUUAAUCUUGAACGAGGAAUUCCUAGUAAACGCAGAUCAUCAAUCUGCAUUGAUUACGUCCCUGCCCUUUGUACACACCGCCCGUCGCACCUACCGAUUGGAUGGUCCGGUGAAAUCUCGGGAUUGUGGCCAGUUCACUUUAUUGGGAGUUGGCUGCGAGAACUUGCUUAAACCUUAUCAUUUAGAGGAAGGUGAAGUCGUAACA
This 327-nucleotide ribosomal RNA is filed under the name uncultured eukaryote. Its description in RNAcentral is "partial 18S ribosomal RNA". It matches the Rfam family "Eukaryotic small subunit ribosomal RNA", at positions 1470 to 1796 of the family's 1831-position model. The record is from RNAcentral.